RNAcentral lists this ribosomal RNA (253 nucleotides) under uncultured bacterium. RNAcentral describes it as "partial 16S ribosomal RNA". It matches the Rfam family "Bacterial small subunit ribosomal RNA", at positions 524 to 776 of the family's 1533-position model. The record is from RNAcentral.
UACGAACCGUCCAAACGUUAUUCGGAAUUACUGGGCUUAAAGAGUUCGUAGGCGGUUGGAAAAGUUGGGUGUGAAAGCCCUCGGCUCAACCGAGGAAUUGCGCUCAAAACUGUUCGACUAGAGGGAGAUAGAGGUGAGCAGAACUGAUGGUGGAGCGGUGAAAUGCGUUGAUAUCAUCAGGAAUACCGGAGGCGAAGGCGGCUCACUGGGUCUCUUCUGACGCUGAGGAACGAAAGCUAGGGGAGCAAACGGG